UACAGAGGUCUCAAGCGUUGUUCGGAUUCACUGGGCGUAAAGGGUGCGUAGGCGGGUCUUUAAGUCAGGGGUGAAAUCCUGGAGCUCAACUCCAGAACUGCCUUUGAUACUGAGGAUCUUGAGUUCGGGAGAGGUGAGUGGAACUGCGAGUGUAGAGGUGAAAUUCGUAGAUAUUCGCAAGAACACCAGUGGCGAAGGCGGCUCACUGGCCCGAUACUGACGCUGAGGCACGAAAGCGUGGGGAGCAAACAGG
RNAcentral lists this ribosomal RNA (253 nucleotides) under uncultured bacterium. RNAcentral describes it as "partial 16S ribosomal RNA". It matches the Rfam family "Bacterial small subunit ribosomal RNA", at positions 524 to 776 of the family's 1533-position model. The record is from RNAcentral.